Molecule: ribosomal RNA, 449 nt
Filed under: uncultured bacterium
Lineage: Bacteria
Description: partial 16S ribosomal RNA
Rfam family: Bacterial small subunit ribosomal RNA
Source: RNAcentral
AAUGAACGCUGGCGGCAGGCCUAACACAUGCAAGUCGAACGGAUCCUUCGGGAUUAGUGGCGGACGGGUGAGUAACACGUGGGAACGUGCCCUUUGGUUCGGAACAACUCAGGGGAACUUGAGCUAAUACCGGAUGUGCCCUUCGGGGGAAAGAUUUAUCGCCAUUGGAGCGGCCCGCGUCUGAUUAGCUAGUUGGUGAGGUAAAGGCUCACCAAGGCGACGAUCAGUAGCUGGUCUGAGAGGAUGAUCAGCCACAUUGGGACUGAGACACGGCCCAAACUCCUACGGGAGGCAGCAGUGGGGAAUCUUGCGCAAUGGGCGAAAGCCUGACGCAGCCAUGCCGCGUGAAUGAUGAAGGUCUUAGGAUUGUAAAAUUCUUUCACCGGGGACGAUAAUGACGGUACCCGGAGAAGAAGCCCCGGCUAACUUCGUGCCAGCCGCCGCGGUAA